AGAAUCAACGCUGGCGGCGUGCCUAACACAUGCAAGUCGAACGAGAAAGUGGAGCAAUCCAUGAGUAAAGUGGCGCACGGGUGAGUAACACGUGACUAACCUACCCUUGAGUGGGGAAUAACCUCGGGAAACCGGGCUAAUACCGCAUAACACCUACGGGUCAAAGGAGCAAUUCGCUUAAGGAGGGGGUCGCGGCAGAUUAGUUAGUUGGCGGGGUAAUGGCCCACCAAGACGGUGAUCUGUA
This 244-nucleotide ribosomal RNA is filed under the name uncultured bacterium. RNAcentral's name for it is "partial small subunit ribosomal RNA". It matches the Rfam family "Bacterial small subunit ribosomal RNA", at positions 26 to 285 of the family's 1533-position model. The record is from RNAcentral.